RNAcentral lists this ribosomal RNA (450 nucleotides) under uncultured bacterium. RNAcentral describes it as "bacterial SSU rRNA". It matches the Rfam family "Bacterial small subunit ribosomal RNA", at positions 354 to 796 of the family's 1533-position model. The record is from RNAcentral.
GUGGGGAAUAUUGCGCAAUGGGCGAAAGCCUGACGCAGCAACGCCGCGUGUGUGAUGAAGGCCUUCGGGUUGUAAAGCACUGUCGGGAGGGAAGAAGGUGCGGCUGAGUAACUGCAGACGUACUGACGGUACCUCCGGAGGAAGCACCGGCUAACUCCGUGCCAGCAGCCGCGGUAAUACGGAGGGUGCAAGCGUUGUUCGGAAUCAUUGGGCGUAAAGGGCGCGUAGGCGGUUCGUCAAGUCGGGUGUGAAAGCCUGCAGCUUAACUGCAGAAUUGCGCUCGAAACUGGCGAGCUUGAGUACGGGAGAGGGUAGCGGAAUUCCGAGUGUAGAGGUGAAAUUCGUAGAUAUUCGGAGGAACACCGGUGGCGAAGGCGGCUACCUGGACCGAUACUGACGCUGAGGCGCGAAAGCGUGGGGAGCAAACAGGAUUAGAAACCCGGGUAGUCC